This is a long non-coding RNA of Helianthus annuus (common sunflower), 423 nucleotides long. RefSeq lists it as uncharacterized. The record is from RefSeq and is a predicted model, not a curated record. The transcript has 3 exons. NCBI's taxonomy places the organism in Eukaryota, Viridiplantae, Streptophyta, Magnoliopsida, Asterales, Asteraceae.
ACAAGGGAGCAGGGCAAGGUGAAACCCUAGUUUCACCAAAUCCAUCAAAUUUAGUAGGGAUUUCAAGGAAAAUCGAAUGCAUGAACCUCUAUUCUUGAACAUCUAACCUUGUUCAUUGAUGUGGAUCGUGUCAAUAUGGGGGAAAGCACGGAAGGUUAAUGGAACGAGUAAGAGGAAGCAUGUAUGAAACGGACACUCGAGGUACCACACGGAUUUCUUCUUCUACUAACGAAGAUGAGCGGACGAAGAUCGAGUCAAGAGCAAGGAUUGUACGGGAAAGAUCGGUCACAUAGUUUAACAAAUGUAGGUCCAAAGUAUUAAUAUAAUGGAACGUGGUAAAUCCUUUUUAGUGAGUGUAUGACAUUUGGUAUUCGAACUUUCCUGUAAGUACUAUGUCUAUUAAAGAACGAAAUUUUGGGUUCA